This 21-nucleotide microRNA is filed under the name Mus musculus (house mouse). Its description in RNAcentral is "mmu-miR-6939-5p". Lineage: Eukaryota; Metazoa; Chordata; Mammalia; Rodentia; Muridae. The record is from miRBase by way of RNAcentral.
CAGGCAGCUGGUUGGUGGAAG